AUCCAACUGACGAGUCCUAAAUAGAACGAAAUGGGCAUUCUGGAU
Molecule: non-coding RNA, 45 nt
Filed under: Schistosoma margrebowiei
Lineage: Eukaryota; Metazoa; Platyhelminthes; Trematoda; Strigeidida; Schistosomatidae
Source: RNAcentral